This 845-nucleotide ribosomal RNA is filed under the name Pseudomonas sp. SI4(2011). RNAcentral describes it as "bacterial SSU rRNA". It matches the Rfam family "Bacterial small subunit ribosomal RNA", at positions 25 to 865 of the family's 1533-position model. Lineage: Bacteria; Pseudomonadati; Pseudomonadota; Gammaproteobacteria; Pseudomonadales; Pseudomonadaceae. The record is from RNAcentral.
CAGAUUGAACGCUGGCGGCAGGCCUAACACAUGCAAGUCGAGCGGUAGAGAGAAGCUUGCUUCUCUUGAGAGCGGCGGACGGGUGAGUAAUGCCUAGGAAUCUGCCUGGUAGUGGGGGAUAACGUUCGGAAACGGACGCUAAUACCGCAUACGUCCUACGGGAGAAAGCAGGGGACCUUCGGGCCUUGCGCUAUCAGAUGAGCCUAGGUCGGAUUAGCUAGUUGGUGGGGUAAUGGCUCACCAAGGCGACGAUCCGUAACUGGUCUGAGAGGAUGAUCAGUCACACUGGAACUGAGACACGGUCCAGACUCCUACGGGAGGCAGCAGUGGGGAAUAUUGGACAAUGGGCGAAAGCCUGAUCCAGCCAUGCCGCGUGUGUGAAGAAGGUCUUCGGAUUGUAAAGCACUUUAAGUUGGGAGGAAGGGCCGUUACCUAAUACGUGAUGGUUUUGACGUUACCGACAGAAUAAGCACCGGCUAACUCUGUGCCAGCAGCCGCGGUAAUACAGAGGGUGCAAGCGUUAAUCGGAAUUACUGGGCGUAAAGCGCGCGUAGGUGGUUUGUUAAGUUGGAUGUGAAAUCCCCGGGCUCAACCUGGGAACUGCAUUCAAAACUGACUGACUAGAGUAUGGUAGAGGGUGGUGGAAUUUCCUGUGUAGCGGUGAAAUGCGUAGAUAUAGGAAGGAACACCAGUGGCGAAGGCGACCACCUGGACUGAUACUGACACUGAGGUGCGAAAGCGUGGGGAGCAAACAGGAUUAGAUACCCUGGUAGUCCACGCCGUAAACGAUGUCAACUAGCCGUUGGGAGCCUUGAGCUCUUAGUGGCGCAGCUAACGCAUUAAGU